UGACCAGAGACUAAAACAGCUGCAGUGUAACCUAAAACUGUUUUACUGCCUUUUAGUUUGACAGUGUUUCUGUUGUAAUGGAGAUGCAACUAUACGGACUCCUACUGAUGAUUAUCACAUGUGUUAAUGGUCAGUCUUUGAGCUCCUCGGAUUCUGUGGUGAAAAGACCAGGAGAAUCAGUGACUCUGUCCUGCGGUGUCUCUGGAUUCUCAAUGAGCAGCUACUACAUGCACUGGAUCCGUCAGAAACCAGGGAGAGGACUGGAGUGGAUCGGCCUUAUUGACUACGGCACUGGCACUGUUUUUGCUCAGUCUCUACAAGGCCAGUUCUCCAUCAGAAAAGACACCAGCAAAAAAAUGCUGUAUUUAGAGGUGAAAAGCCUGAAGACUGACGACACAGCUGUUUAUUACUGUGCGAGACAGUCACAGUAACACAAACGUCUGCAG
Non-coding RNA from Pimephales promelas (fathead minnow), 446 nucleotides. NCBI's taxonomy places the organism in Eukaryota, Metazoa, Chordata, Actinopteri, Cypriniformes, Leuciscidae. The record is from the annotation of a RefSeq genome assembly.